This is a long non-coding RNA of Brassica rapa (field mustard), 1828 nucleotides long. RefSeq lists it as uncharacterized. The record is from RefSeq and is a predicted model, not a curated record. Lineage: Eukaryota; Viridiplantae; Streptophyta; Magnoliopsida; Brassicales; Brassicaceae.
GCUUAGGCUUGGGGAGGAGGAGGAGCCAGAUUGUAAUAAGGAGGCGGCAGCGGAAGUUCCGGCAGCCAUAUGGGUUGCUUCCAUGGGAAGUGGAUGGUCGUGAGUUCCUUCGUACGUCGUCAUAUAAGCGGAGGUCUGAUCUUCCAAGCCUAAGAGAUAUAUCUACACCGAAAUUGUCGUGGCUAUUAGUGUCCAUCUCCAUAGAAUCUUCAUGUUGUGGUCGGAUAACGUUGGAGACAUGCAUUUGAAGAGAUUUAUAAUCAGUAAGAACGGUAGAUAGUAAGAGUUUUAACUUCUCAUUUUCUUCUCUAACUUUCUCCAACUUGGCUUUUGUUGCAUCAAGCUCCACUUCCUGUAAAUAUCCAGAGUACAAAUUGCUUAUAUUAAUGGCCUCACCUUCAUACUACUUGUGUUUACAUGUGAUUUAUUUUUUUAUCCAAGUAUUUUCUAAACAUUGAUUUCUUCGUAACUCAACACUCAAAAGUGAGCAGUCUGUAGAGAUGAACAGAGAUUGAAUACUAGAAGAAUAUAUAUUGUAUCGACAUUAUUGACAUGUAUUAUGUACAUGUUACGUUAUUACAUCUAUCCAAUCCGAAUAUUUUUGAAUAUUUGAAUUUCAUUUACCUGAAUAAUCUGAAUAUCCUCAACUUUUUUUAGAACAGGCAGGUUGACUUUUAUUACAUGCAGUAAGUGUGUAUUGAUUUCGAAAAAUCAACAAACGUAUGAACUACAUAUAUUUAUAUGUACACUAUAUGAAUGCGUAUAUCUAAAAUUCAAAAUUUUCACCGAUAAAACACCAGAAGAAGAUUUAAAACAGCCAUACCCGAACUGAUUAGAGAAAACCAUGGUUUAAAAUCUUAAAUCAAGAUAUAGUUUGUUCCUUUUACCUUAUCAGAUUCUACUAUACCAUCGGAAGGAUGAACACAUGAACUGAUCUUCUCUUUGAUCAUACUAUAUAUUAUGAUUCAGAUCUUGAGAACAGUUGGAUCCGCUCUUUCGGUUGUUCUUGGUUGCAAGAAAAAAAAGAGUAAUAUAUUCUCUUUAAUUAUUUGUAGAGUUGUAGCUUCUUAUAAAGAGCCAGGAGCCUACAUUGACUCUGCAUUUUAGUAAGAGGAAAUACAAACUUAAAAAUAUUGUUUUCUAUUGGUGAUCAUCACCAUGUUACCAGCUCUGAUUGGAAAUCAUUCUCAACUUCGUCUCGAUUCUUGAAUAAUCCCGAACCGACGACUCAGCAUUAUAUAAUAAAUAAUGUCUAUUGUCAUAAUAUAAUAAUGAUAAUAAUUCAAAUUGUAUUGCAAUCCAAAUCAUGAAUCAUUUAUGAUAAUACUUUAUAAUAAUUUUUGGUAAAACACUUUAUAAUAUUUUUCUACUUCUGCAUCAUGGUUAUUAUAGCAACGCUGUAGACAUUAUGUUAAUUUAUUGGUAACUAGGACGAGUCUUUACUUUUGACAUGUACGUACGGAUAUAUCGGAUUAUAGAUCUAUACAUAAUUUGUGUGUUUUAUACCGUCUAAACUAAAGAAAUUUGUACAUUGAAGUUAUGGUUGCAGAAUUCUACAGAUGAAUAUUGUGGCAUAGGUAACAGAUGACCUAGAAGAUCGAAUGAAACAAUACUUAGUUCUUUCUUUUCUUUGAUAUUUUGUACAUGCAGGUGUGUAUAUUAUCCAGAUAGGGACAGUGCCGGUGCUAGAUAUCAACUACAAGCUCCGACCUGAUGAAGUUUAGAGAAAUAAAGGGCCACUUCUAAGGGAAAAGUUGCUAGUUCUUUCUGUUGAUAGCAGUAUAAGAGCAUUUUCAAUGUAAUAUUCUAUUUUUUUCUUUAAAAUAAA